AGUUGAAGUCCAAUCAACUUGAAACUUAGUACACUUGUUUCCCAUGAUAUGAUCUUUCUAAUGUUAAUGCCAAAUUAUAGUUUUGACCCCAAUUUCAUGGUCCACUGAACAUAGAAAAUGAUAGUGCGAAGUUCAGGUUAAAGUUUUUGGUCAAGGUAGUUUUUGAUGAAGUUAAAGUUACAUCAACUUGAAACUUAGUACACAUGUUCCCUAUGAUAUGAUCUUUCUAAUUUUAGUUCCAAAUUAAAGUUUUGACCCCAAUUUCACGGUCC
This 272-nucleotide long non-coding RNA is filed under the name Mytilus galloprovincialis (Mediterranean mussel). The record is from RNAcentral. Lineage: Eukaryota; Metazoa; Mollusca; Bivalvia; Mytilida; Mytilidae.